AACUUUCUUGGGUACCCAUGUCUCGAGACAAUAUAUCUUCUCUUCUGGAGGUCAGAAAUAUUUUGCAUCCUUUGUGAUCAUUACCAUAAGGAAUUCCUACUUUCUCCGGUUCGAGUUGUUCCCAAAUAUCAUCCAAAAUUACGAGGAUCUUCUUCUCAUUCACCAAUCGUUGAUGCAAUCGAUAUGCUCUUCCAUCUUCAGACUCCUCCUCUAAUUUCAAGCCCAGCACAUCAGCAAUCUUCCAUUGAAUUUUUCUAACCUCUGGUGUUUCAGUCACAGUAGCCAUAACUAUAACAUCGAAUAACUUGUCUUCUAUAGCUUUCC
RNAcentral lists this unclassified non-coding RNA (324 nucleotides) under Hevea brasiliensis (rubber tree). Lineage: Eukaryota; Viridiplantae; Streptophyta; Magnoliopsida; Malpighiales; Euphorbiaceae. The record is from RNAcentral.